GACGAACGCUGGCGGCGUGCUUAACACAUGCAAGUCGAACGAAGUGGCGAACGGGUGAGUAACGCGUAAUCAACCUGCCCUUCAGAGGGGGACAACAGUUGGAACGGACUGCUAAUACCGCAUACUGAAGGAGGGGUUGGCGUCGGGUUAGCUAGUUGGUGGGGUAACGGCCAACCAAGGCGAGGAUAAGUAGCCGGUCUGGGAGGGUGAACGGGCACAUUGGGACUGGGCAACGGCCCAGACUCCUACGGGAGGCAGCAGGGGGGAAUCUUCCGCAAUGGACGUAAGUCUGACGGAGCAACGCCGCGUGAGAGAUGACGGCCUUCGGGUUGUAAAGCUCUGUUAAUCGGGACGCGGUACCGGCAUAGAAAGCCACGGCUAACUACGUGCCAGCAGCCGCGGUAAUAC
Molecule: ribosomal RNA, 408 nt
Filed under: uncultured bacterium
Lineage: Bacteria
Description: partial 16S ribosomal RNA
Rfam family: Bacterial small subunit ribosomal RNA
Source: RNAcentral